Molecule: long non-coding RNA, 236 nt
Organism: Chinchilla lanigera (long-tailed chinchilla)
Lineage: Eukaryota; Metazoa; Chordata; Mammalia; Rodentia; Chinchillidae
Exons: 3
Source: RefSeq, a predicted model, not a curated record
GGUGAGUAGCUCUUCUGUGCUCAGGCUUUUCCAUCAUGCUGUUUCUGCCUCGGAUCCAGUCAAUCUGAGCCUGACCCGUCUGAAACUAGAUAACACACUGAAUGCUGCUCGGCCUGGUGGCAGGUGAAUGGAUUAUAUCUUGGUUAUCAUGAAUGAAAGAGUCUGUUCACUUACUAUGACUAAUGCUUGAGAAACACACCAAGUUCUGAGUCUCCCAUGACUGUCACAUAGGUAAG